This 417-nucleotide ribosomal RNA is filed under the name beta proteobacterium W-2002. Its description in RNAcentral is "bacterial SSU rRNA". It matches the Rfam family "Bacterial small subunit ribosomal RNA", at positions 1109 to 1533 of the family's 1533-position model. The record is from RNAcentral. Lineage: Bacteria; Pseudomonadati; Pseudomonadota; Betaproteobacteria.
CCUUGGCUUGUUGCUACGAAAGGCCACCUCAAUGAGAUGCCGGUGACAAACCGGGAGGAAGGUGGGGAUGACGUCAAGUCCUCAUGGCCCUUAUGGGUAGGGCUUCACACGUCAUACAAUGGUACAUACAGAGGGCCGCCAACCCGCGAGGGGGAGCUAAUCCCAGAAAGUGUAUCGUAGUCCGGAUUGUAGUCUGCCACUCGACUACAUGAAGUUGGAAUCGCUAGUAAUCGCGGAUCAGCAUGUCGCGGUGAAUACCUUCCCGGGUCUUGUACACACCGCCCGUCACACCAUGGGAGCGGGUUUUACCAGAAGUAGGUAGCCUAACCGUAAGGAGGGCGCUUACCACGGUAGAGAUUCGUGACUGGGGUGAAGUCGUAACAAGGUAGCCGUAUCGGAAGGUGCUGCUGGAUCACU